Molecule: ribosomal RNA, 472 nt
Filed under: uncultured bacterium
Lineage: Bacteria
Description: bacterial SSU rRNA
Rfam family: Bacterial small subunit ribosomal RNA
Source: RNAcentral
UGGGGAAUAUUGGACAAUGGGCGAAAGCCUGAUCCAGCCAUGCCGCGUGUGUGAAGAAGGUCUUCGGAUUGUAAAGCACUUUAAGUUGGGAGGAAGGGCAGUUACCUAAUACGUGAUUGUUUUGACGUUACCGACAGAAUAAGCACCGGCUAACUCUGUGCCAGCAGCCGCGGUAAUACAGAGGGUGCAAGCGUUAAUCGGAAUUACUGGGCGUAAAGCGCGCGUAGGUGGUUUGUUAAGUUGGAUGUGAAAUCCCCGGGCUCAACCUGGGAACUGCAUUCAAAACUGAUUGACUAGAGUAUGGUAGAGGGUGGUGGAAUUUCCUGUGUAGCGGUGAAAUGCGUAGAUAUAGGAAGGAACACCAGUGGCGAAGGCGACCACCUGGACUGAUACUGACGCUGAGGCGCGAAAGCUAGGGUAGCAAACGGGAUUAGAUACCCACGUAGUCCCUGAGCGGGCUGGCAAGGCGCAU